RNAcentral lists this small nucleolar RNA (208 nucleotides) under Helianthus annuus (common sunflower). RNAcentral's name for it is "Plant small nucleolar RNA U3". It matches the Rfam family "Plant small nucleolar RNA U3". From Rfam's summary of the family: Small nucleolar RNAs (snoRNAs) are involved in the processing and modification of rRNA in the nucleolus. There are two main classes of snoRNAs: the box C/D class, and the box H/ACA class. The record is from RNAcentral. Lineage: Eukaryota; Viridiplantae; Streptophyta; Magnoliopsida; Asterales; Asteraceae.
AAAGCCAUAGAAGAACAUGAUCUAUAGGCUCGUACUUUGUAUUCUUGAUUCCUAAAAAGGACAGAAACCCAUGUCUGGUUGAUGAAUCAAGACCAUGGAACCAGAGCGUGAUUAACAGAGCUUGUGGUCUAGAUCAUGGCUCGGUAGAGGAUCGUUGCUAGCCCAUCUUAUCCGGUCCUGGCAUGGCUCCAUGGUUGUCUGACAAACA